RNAcentral lists this long non-coding RNA (1313 nucleotides) under Homo sapiens (human). Its description in RNAcentral is "non-protein coding lnc-E2F6-10:1". Lineage: Eukaryota; Metazoa; Chordata; Mammalia; Primates; Hominidae. The record is from RNAcentral.
CUGCUGCUUGCCAUUGUCUCCUGUGUGAGAAAUCUCUCUGGGUAUUAGAAACCUUUAUACAAUAUUAAUGGGGAUUAGAAGGGAGCAUCCAAGGGCCAGGUCAGAGCCAGUCCUUUUCACUCAUGUAAAUGACCUGAGACAAAUAUAAACCGAGAGGGUUCACAUCCUAACAAGGCAUUUUUGUUCCCAUCCGUGGUGAUCGAAUCAUUGAAAGAAGACCCUGUUGGUGACCCCAGCCCAAAUCUGAAAGGCAUUUGCAUCCCUGUGAGCUGGGAUCAGCGCACAGUGGCCGGUGCCUGAUCUCCACAGAGCGAGCACAGGAGGUCGACUUUCUGGGAGGAAGUAAAGAGGCUGACGCAUCUGCUAGACUCAAGGACAGUCCCAGCAGCACCUCCACUGCGUGCGGAGAGGGAGGAAGCGCCACGGAUAAGGAGAGCCAGCUUCACAGUCAGGCACAGCCUCAAACCCCAGCCGUGCCGCUUUUUGGAGCUGUGACCUCCUUACCCUCUCCCAGUCUGGUUAUCCUCACCUGGAAAACGGGGUUGCCGUUACGUCCGUCCCAAGGCUGCUGCAAAGACAGAAGAGGAGCGCCACGCACAGACUCACAGAGGAGCUCAGUGACGCUGGGCCCUUCCUUCCCCCACUCAUCGAGUUCUGCAACACCGAAAAUCCCGUUCACUCAAAAAAAAAAAAAAAAACGGGGGGACUUAUCCUAACCAAGAUUCAACGGACUAGUAUAGGCGGAGGCUAGGCGCUCGGACCCGGGCCCAAACUGUGUGUGUCCAAACUCUUGUCUCAGCCAUCUCCCAGGUGUGUGGACUCAGACAAGCUACUUAACAUCUGUGUGCCUCAGUUUCCCACUCUGCAAAACGAGGAUAAUAAAAAUCCCAUCUACCUCGUAAGGUUGUCAUGAGGAUUGAGUGAGUUACACGUGAAGUGCUUGGAACAGUGCAUGACCCCAACUUAUUUUUUUUUAAUGCAUCCUUUUAGGUAACAGUUUGGUUAGAAGAAAUAAGAAAACUUCCUUGAGGCCAUUUUUUUCUAAAUUUUGUGGAAAAACAAUUAUGUUGUAUGAAAAAAAUACCGAAUGAAAUUGCCAAUAUGCUGCAAUUUUCACCUACAAAAAUGGCAGGUUCAUAUAGUCCCACCCAGUUAGUAAAUUUCUGAGCCUCAGUUUACACAUCUGUAGAAUGUGUAUCCUAGUCCUUACAUUCUGAGGCUACGGUGUAGCUUAGUGCUAAUGUAAAAUGUUGGCACAAAGUAGGGACUUAGUGAAUGACAGCAGCUGGUGGUGUAAAACCACCAAUCUUCUU